GACGAACGCUGGCGGCGUGCUUAACACAUGCAAGUCGAACGGAAAGGCCCUGCUUUUGUGGGGUUCUCGAGUGGCGAAUGGGUGAGUAACACGUGAGUAACCUGCCCUUGACUUUGGGAUAACUUCAGGAAACUGGGGCUAAUACCGGAUAGGUGCUUCUGCUGCAUGGUGGGCGUUGGAAAGUUUCGGCGGUUGGGGAUGGACUCGCGGCUUAUCAGCUUGUUGGUGGGGUAGUGGCUUACCAAGGCUUUGACGGGUAGCCGGCCUGAGAGGGUGACCGGCCACAUUGGGACUGAGAUACGGCCCAGACUCCUACGGGAGGCAGCAGUGGGGAAUAUUGCACAAUGGGCGGAAGCCUGAUGCAGCAACGCCGCGUGCGGGAUGACGGCCUUCGGGUUGUAAACCGCUUUCGCCUGUGACGAAGCGUGAGUGACGGUAAUGGGUAAAGAAGCACCGGCUAACUACGUG
This 468-nucleotide ribosomal RNA is filed under the name uncultured bacterium. Its description in RNAcentral is "partial 16S ribosomal RNA". It matches the Rfam family "Bacterial small subunit ribosomal RNA", at positions 28 to 507 of the family's 1533-position model. The record is from RNAcentral.